UGUGUGCGACGACUGAAAGUCUUGAGUGGAGUGAGGGGAACACCAUCGGACUUGGAGUGGUGGUUUUAGGGUCUUAAUGUCGUCCUUGGGAUCCUAACGAAAGGUUCCCGAUACUGGAUUGGGACACCUUGAAACCUCUUUUACUACCUCCAGAGACAAAAUCACGUGAGGAUCCAUCCAUACUGCUGCUAAUACCAUUGGUCUGGAAGUUGGAGGUGUUGCACAGCUCUCAACACAAGCACAGCUUGAAAACCAGGAGCACCUGAAGGAACAGUGCUCAUUUCCUACAGAAAACAAGUGACUGAGAAAGAAGUCUAGAUGACUGUGUUAGUUCCAUGGACGAAGCUUUACCAGAGUGACAGUAUGACUCAGUCAUCAGAAAAGCAGGGAGCAGCACCGAGAUGGUUCUAAGGCAGUUCCUCCCCUGGAUCUGGGGCAAGCACAUCUACAGGGACUCUCAUUGCUGGGUACCAGGACACAGACCUACUAAAGGAUCAGGAGACAGAUGCCAAAGGUACAGCCUUUAAUAGACAACUUUGCACAGUAUUGAAUUAUAGCACAUUAGAAUGUUUCUGUUCUGCAUCUUACUGAGAUAUGCUCACUCUUCUGAAGAAAGUCUAGCUUUUAUUAUGAUUGUAUUGAAAAACAGGGUAUACAAAUACUCAUGCAAAAAGACUUUUACAUUUUUGACAGUGUUUGGAUGAUGGCAUCUUCCAAUUCACAUUAUAAUUUUAUUUCUGAAAAGCUGAAAACUUGCUACAGGAAGCUACAGGAAACGUAUCCCUAGAAAAAGUCCUAUAUACAUAUCAGGUGAGAGGCAUACAUAAGGCCACAGAAAUCCUUAGUGCUUCUGUGGGAACCAAGGGUGAACUAUGUGAGACUUUUGCAAUCCAGUGACAACUCUGGCUUCCAGACUUUUGUAAGAAUAGUUUACAUCUUUAUUUUUUGAUUGAUUUUUUUUGGAGGUUACCCCCACCCCCCUGCACUGCCCUGAAAGGGGCUGCCAUGGAACAGGGAGAUCCUCUAUGCCAUUCCAGGUAACAAUGUGGCAGAUAAAAGAUGCAAAUUCAGUAAGAACAGCUGCUAUGCCUCCUGUGUCUUACUUAUCUUUAAAAUAUUUGAACUGAGUUUUGCCACCUUUUUUCUUGUUAUUGCUUGAGAUGUGCAGCUAUAGAUCUAACAGACAGAAGCUGCCGUAGUUACUUUUCAAAUUAACGGAGAGCAGCCAAACAAAUGCCUCAUGCUGCCUUAAGCGGUGACCUUCAGAGGCUAAGGAUCCUUGAGUUUCAGAUCACAGUGGUUUAGCUUGUGGACUUGAUCACUGCCCAUAACAUCAACACUAGAGGUUGCAACUUUCUGUUGCAUUUUUGUGAAUAAACCAGGCAAGCAUUCAUUAAAAUUAGAAGACCAUGAGUUGAUUCAACCCAGGUCAGCUGAGAGCUAAUCGACACCCUGGAGCAGACUGAACUGUGCUGUCUUGCCUUCUGCUGCAUCACUCGCUACAUCUAGGUAAAGUCAUUCUUCACAAAGAUUUAGUUUGCAAGGAGUUUCCCCCUGUAAUUUGGAGGGGGCGGGUGUUAAAUGCUGGUUUUGCACAUGUAGUACAAUUUCAUGCCACUAUGCUGUGUUUUACAAGGAGGUGCGUGUGAAAGAAUGCUAGAGCAGAGUGAGAAUGAUUUCUCUUCUAUCAGUCAAUAUGCUGUAUAUCAUGCCUGAGAUGUGACAGGAGAUAGCUUCUUUGCAAUGGACAGCUGCACAAAACACUUCUCUAGCAGGUAACUUACAAAUAAUCACAAGGCAGAGAUCUGUUACCUUCUGUCAGUUACGAGUCUGCAGCUGCACAUGUCAAAAGCAUUGUACUUACGCCAUAUGUGCUUGGCUUCCCUGUGAAAAGAUUCAUGAAACAUCAGAAAUAAACCAGCUGUGUAUCCUCAAACACUGGACUGUAUGAACAUAUUUUCCAGGAUUUUUCUAUGGCUCACGUAUUCCGGCUCUGUUAAACCAAUAGGUCAUGUGAAGAAUUUACCAUACCCUGCUGUCCAGAUUGCAUGAUGCAAGUCAGGUGGCUCUUAUCCAGAAAUUAAUUUUAAUCACCAGCUGAGGAGAGUGGCAGUGUGCAAAGCUAGAAAGCUUAUCUGUAGAGCAAUACUGGCACCUUAUAAAUUAGAUCUGCAAAGUAAUGCAGAAAGCAAUAUAGUAAGCUCCAGGCUGAAAGCAAGCCUGCUUAGGCACGCAUCCACACCGUAUCACAACUGAGUGCACUUUCUGUGCAGAAAACAAUGCUAUAUGAAAGGUACAGAGAGGCCAGUUUUUACCCCUUUGUUCUUCCUCCCUGGAGUCUUACUUUUAGCCCAUUCAUUUUAUCACCAUUCUCUGCACUGCUUCUGGUUUGACUUUUCUCUUUUCUGUUCAACAGAUAACUAGAACUGCACAAGCAUUCUCAAUGAUAACUCACCAUCGCUUUAUCACAAUGACAGGCUCAGUCUCUCCCGAAAAAGACUGUGGCUGAAACACACCCUAGAUCAUCUUUUUUCAUGGCAGCAUCGCAUUUCAAGAUGAAUGGGCUUCCAGUCAGCUAGAUCAAUAAUCAUCCUAGAUCUUUCUCACCUAUGUCCCUUUGAUAAACACCCCACUUAAAGAAUAAUGAGCAUUUCUGCCUUUAUGGUACAGAACUUAUACUUAGAAAUAGCAAAACACUGAAUAAUACAAAAAUGUAUGUCUUCAUGGUUAUCUACUUCCUCCAAUAUGAUAUCUUACCCCACUGCAUUGACAGAAUGCCAUCAUCAGCAGACUCCUGCUUUUUGAGGCAAGGUCAAGCACAGAUAUAUUUUAAGACAAAAUAUGCUCCUGAUCAUUCCUUGGAGAACUUCGCGAUCAACUUUCUCCAGACUUGAUCCUUCUACUUAAUAGCCUCAGCAGCCCCUGCCCCACCACCACCAUUUUCUUUCUACCUUAUAGAUUUACUAACUACAUGUAACAAAUUUGCAAUGAGGCAUCACCUGCUUUAUGGGGAGAAAGAAAGAAAAAAAAAAAAAAAAAAAGCUCCUUUAGCACUUACAUGAGGGAAAAACAUACCUUUAACAAACCUUUGUACUGUUUAAAAUUGGUCUUCUACAGCAGUCAAAUGUUGGUGCUUCCACUUCCUGCCUUCCUUAGGUGUCCCCCAAGGUCUGUUCGAUUUUGCCUUCCGCCCAAAUAGAUGCUGUCUAGAGUAUUUUGUACUGAACACCAACAGCCCCAAAUAACUGACAAUGACAAAAGCAGGAUUCAUUCAUACUCUAGAGUCCUUGCAAAGAGAACAAGCCCAGUCAGGCCUACAACCAGGAAAGGCUCAUCUGGGCCACUUUCCUUUCCAUUUUCCACUUAAGAUAGCCCUGAGGUUUGGAAGGAAGAUUACAGUGUCAAGGGUAUGCCACAGGCACUACAAAGUCAUCGAGAAGUUCUCGAGAGUUUUAUGAAUGCAACUAUUUACCCUGUUUACCUCCAGGCAGGGAAUUUUAGUUGGGUCCAACUUGGAUGACUGGUAGAACAGCUCUUCACUGGGCAGAAUAUCAGAUUUAUUGGUAGCCCUUACUACUAUUGAGGAAUGCAGUCUGUCUAGUUAGCAAGGUGAAUGAGGCAGUUUCUCCCUUCCUCUCUCCUUUUUUUCCUCAUUUUAUCCUUCUGAGCAACUUAUGAGAGUAACUUGCUAUAUCUCUCCACAAGUUUUAGAGACAUUCAUCACAGGUUUGAUCUUGCUACCGCAGUUGAUAGUGGUGGAUAGUGGUUUCCAUCAACUUCAGUGACACAAUAUUCAAAUCAAGAGUUCUCAAAUGCUGGAAAAGUAGAUAAUUUGAAAGGAAGAAAAAACAACCUGAUUCACAUCAGCCCUAACCUGGUUCAAAAAAAAAAAGUAUUAAAAAAAUUGACAUUUUUUCCUUGGAAUUCAUCUAUUUUGGUAAACUAAAGGGUUUUUUAAGUUUAUACUUGAAUAAUAAAGUUCCACUCAUCUGAUUUGGUGGCUUUCCUUCCCCAUUUCUGUAAGCCUCUGGUUAAGUACUUUUGACAUUAGCUGCAUAGUUUCAGUAACAGUAUAAAUGACCUUAUUGGCUGCUCUGAGCUCUAAACACAUUUAUAAAUAUGAAGUAAAAAAAAAUUAUUUAAGCUUUUGUAGAUGCAGCUUUAUUCAGACUCAUUUAUUCACUCCUGGCUAAACAAGUGCUUUCCAUGAACUACAGAAGUCAACAUAGCAAAUUAAAUUCAUACUUUCAAUACGCAGGACAAAAUCAAGGCUGAAGUACUUGCCUACAUUUAUAUUUUACAGCUUCAUGCAAACACUUCCUAGUCUCCUUGCUGGAGACAUGGUAUCCCUUCUACUCUCAUCUUCUACAAGUACUGAAGGUAUAAGGUUUUGGUCCUAAUAUAAACUAAUUUCCCAUAAUUGUCUAGGUCUUGCUAUUGGGGUUAAGUCUUGUCAAAGUAUUAAGGAAUCUUUCAACCGUUUUGUUUGACCCACAUCUCUUUUGCAGCAGUUUCUCUGUACAGCCAGUUACACCAUACAACACCUAAAGGUUUCUGCUAAGCACAUGAGAAAAAUCCUGUGGUAGCAGGUUUCUAAAGGGAGAAUGCUGAUGCACUGGGCUCAGAGUUAAAAGAACUAUGCUGAAGGGAGGACAAAAUACAGGUGUAUUCGAGGGCAGAUCUAGAAUUUCCCAGUGUAGGCAUCCAGGACCUGACCAUCCACCAAGAUGCGCUUAGUUCCAACCCUCUCGCAUACAGCGUCUUUCAAAAGUCACUGCUGCCAAUGGACAGGGUGUAGUCAUCAGUUUGUGAUGGGGUGAUUCUGGUAUUAGGAAGUUGCAUCAGAGGAAGAAAACAAACCAAAAAAACCCCACAGCAAAACAACCCUUAAAAGACAGCUCUUUUCUCUAACCCUCAUCACAGCUGGAUCAUAUCCCAUGUAAUGGUGGAGACAGUACCAACACAGGAGGUCCAUUCCUCUGGAUUCCCAGGAGCAGAGGGUGCAUUUCAAGAAUGUACCAGGACAUGACAAUCUGCUGAGGGUGGUGAUGCGUGGGACAACAGGAAUUCUCUACAUUGCUAUUGCUCCAGGUGGAUCAAAAAGACAAAGAGAAGGAAGAGUAACUAUUGUUUCACAAUUCUAAAUAUUGAACAUACCUAGUUGGGAUUUGAAUAGUCAAUGAACCUCUCACCAGAACAGGAGUAUUCCUUCUUUACUUAUUUAAAAAACCACCAAACAAAAAACCAAACAAAACCAAAAGCCACUGUAAAGAAUCUUAAGUGAUAGGGUUUUGCACCUCAAUCCCACUGGAGAAAGGAAGAGGGGGGAAAAAAAAAAAAAAAAAAAAGAGAACUUUAUUCCUAACUAGCAAAAAGAACACUGGUACAGUUAAGCUAUUCUCCCUUUUCCAAAAGCCUUGAGGGGGUGGGAGGUGGGGAGGAUAAGAGGGGACACGAGACACAACGCUGCACCACAGAUCUACAUGAAUAGCUGCUGUUGCACUGAGAUAGAAAUUCUAUCACACAUUAUUCCUGAAGGAAUAAUUUCUCAAAAUAACAUUUCAGCAAUGAAGAUUAUUUUUGGUGAUAGAUCCUAUAUGCACACAGCUGUUUGGCAUUCAUAAUACACACACACACACACACACACACACACACACAGUUAGCAGAUUAACCAGAAACUGCUAAAGGAUUUUAAUGUCUUCGGAUUGUUUCACUUCUAAGAGUCUGCUUCAUUUACAGGAGAGUUGCUGGAGAGAAAAUGGUGUUCACAAGGUGACCAUUUGCAUCAAGAAGUGUACAAACUCGAAAGUUGGAAAAUUGGUAAGAUUGCCUGCCUGUCCAGCAGGGAGGAUCAGUCAAGGAACCAUCAAAUACUUGGGGAACCUGACUGUUAUAAAAAAAAAAAAAAAAAAAAAAAAAAAAGUACAUCUUGGAGUAGAAAUGGAAGCCAACGAAGUAGGAAAAUGUGAUGGAACAUUUCUGGAAACAUGGUAUUACUUUUGUUAAGUUUAAUAUUGCUGCAGUUGAAAGUAAUAAAAUCCUGCUAUUACUCUCCUGAAAAAUCUGAUUGAUGGUUCUGUUUUAAUACUAUAAUUAAAAUACAGGGAUUACAAGAUGA
Molecule: long non-coding RNA, 6118 nt
Organism: Dromaius novaehollandiae (emu)
Lineage: Eukaryota; Metazoa; Chordata; Aves; Casuariiformes; Dromaiidae
Exons: 5
Source: RefSeq, a predicted model, not a curated record